RNAcentral lists this ribosomal RNA (510 nucleotides) under Notospermus sp. MCZ IZ 134234. Its description in RNAcentral is "partial 16S ribosomal RNA". It matches the Rfam family "Bacterial large subunit ribosomal RNA", at positions 1817 to 2597 of the family's 2925-position model. The record is from RNAcentral. Lineage: Eukaryota; Metazoa; Nemertea; Pilidiophora; Heteronemertea; Lineidae.
AGCUUGUUGAUUUUUAAUAAUAAGUAUUUUCUGCCCGGUGUUGUUUUAAACGGCCGCGGUAUUUUGACCGUGCAAAGGUAGCAUAAUCAUUUGUCCUUUAAUUGGGGGCUGGUAUGAAGGAAAGUUUGAGGUUUUUGCUGUCUCUUUUUUUUGUUUGGAAUUUGCUGUUUUUGUGAAGAAGCAAAAGUGAUUAAAAAAGACAAGAAGACCCUAUUAAGCUUUAUUUUUUUGAGUUACUUUAUGUUUGUUUAUUAAUAUUUUGGGUGUUAAAAAAAAUUUGGUUGGGGCGGCUAAAGAAGAUUUUAAUUAUCUUCUUUUUUUUUGUUUACUAUUAGUUUAAUAAAGACCCAAGAUUUCUUGGUUUAUAGAAUUAGUUACUAUAGGGAUAACAGCGUUAUCUUUUCGGAAAGUUCUUAUUGGAGAAAAGGUUUGCGACCUCGAUGUUGACUUAUUGUUUCCUUUAAAGGUGUAGUAGCUGUUAGGGUUAGUCUGUUCGACUAUUAAAACGAU